This is a long non-coding RNA of Carassius auratus (goldfish), 149 nucleotides long. RefSeq lists it as uncharacterized. The record is from RefSeq and is a predicted model, not a curated record. Lineage: Eukaryota; Metazoa; Chordata; Actinopteri; Cypriniformes; Cyprinidae. The transcript is spliced from 3 exons.
UUUCAGUCUGAAUUUUGUGAAGCCAUUGAAGAGAAUGAUGGUUUCCCAAAGCACAUCUCACUAGAAAAGAAGAUGGGAAAACAGUGUCGAUUUCCAUCUGAUUGUUCAGCUACAUACACCCCAAAGGCUCUUUUAAGAGCCACACCACG